This 253-nucleotide ribosomal RNA is filed under the name uncultured bacterium. RNAcentral's name for it is "partial 16S ribosomal RNA". It matches the Rfam family "Bacterial small subunit ribosomal RNA", at positions 524 to 776 of the family's 1533-position model. The record is from RNAcentral.
UACGGGGGGGGCAAGCGUUGUUCGGAAUUACUGGGCGUAAAGGGUUCGUAGGUGGCCAACUAAGUCAGACGUGAAAUCCCUCAGCUUAACUGGGGAACUGCGUCUGAGACUGGAUGGCUUGAGUGCAGGAGAGGAACGCGGAAUUCCAGGUGUAGCGGUGAAAUGCGCAGAUAUCAGGAGGAACACCGGUGGCGAAGGCGGGUCUCUGGGCCGAUAUUGACGCUGAGGAGCGAAAGCGUGGGGAGCAAACAGG